AUUCAGCUCAUUUUUUACGAGUCCCAAAUAGGACGAAACGCGUGUCCUGGAU
RNAcentral lists this non-coding RNA (52 nucleotides) under Schistosoma margrebowiei. Lineage: Eukaryota; Metazoa; Platyhelminthes; Trematoda; Strigeidida; Schistosomatidae. The record is from RNAcentral.